Neoarius graeffei (lesser salmon catfish) is the source of this 809-nucleotide long non-coding RNA. RefSeq lists it as uncharacterized. NCBI's taxonomy places the organism in Eukaryota, Metazoa, Chordata, Actinopteri, Siluriformes, Ariidae. The record is from RefSeq and is a predicted model, not a curated record. The transcript has 3 exons.
UAAUAACUGUCUGUCCAUCAUCUGUGUUUCAGGAUUCAGACCUGUUCCCCCCAAACCCUCCUCUGAAGGAGAUUCUUCCUCCAACAACUCUUAAACUGUGGCUGUGCUGUCUUCCUGCUGGAGUGAGAGAGAGAGAGGAGGAGAUGGAGAUGAGGAACACACACACACACACACACACACACACGUUACUCCAGUGGGUAAUCUGCUCUCGGUGUGGAUUUUUAUUUAUGGCUUUUUAUUGUGAAUCUGUUAUUGCUGUAAAUGGGAUUAUUAGAUUGUUCGGGUUUUUCGGUGUAAAUUCUCAUAAUUUGUGUUUGGGUUAGAUGUGAGUGUGUAUGAGCUUCUUUCCUCUGUUCAUUUAUCCCCUGAUUUACUGCAGAAUUUAAUCCGUCAUAACGUCAGGACACGACAGGUUUGAUUUCCGUCUUUGACCUUUUAAUCCAGAGCGAUUUUCCUCAGCAGCUGUUUGUGGAGCUGAUUUGUGCGUCUCAGACAGGAAGUGUGUGAAGCUUCAGAUGUGAUGCGUGUUGAACAGAUUUGACUAAAGUGUAAAAGAUGAGGAGUGACGCAGCAGAAGCAGGAGUUCAUGCUGGAUGAUCAGCGCUCAAAGCUUUUAUUUUCUCCACAAGUGGAAAACACAAAGCAGCUAAAUGACAUGGCACUGAUUCCAUUAUUGAUUAUUUAACUCCAUUUAAAGCAAAAAACAAUCCGUUCAACACGCUGACGCAUCUGUACGACCCGAAUCUCUCCCACAAUCCCUCUGUUCUGUCUGUGGAACUCUGAGUGAAUAAUAAAGUGUAUUUUCUUCA